RNAcentral lists this ribosomal RNA (558 nucleotides) under uncultured Gemmatimonadota bacterium. Its description in RNAcentral is "bacterial SSU rRNA". It matches the Rfam family "Bacterial small subunit ribosomal RNA", at positions 50 to 597 of the family's 1533-position model. The record is from RNAcentral. Lineage: Bacteria; Pseudomonadati; Gemmatimonadota.
AACACAUGCAAGUCGAGCGAGAACCAGUCCUUCGGGACUGGGGACAGCGGCGAACGGGUGAGUAACACGUGGGUAAUCUGCCCUCGGCACUGGGAUAGCCCGGGGAAACCCGGAUUAAUACCGGAUGGCCUUUCGAGCCUUUGGGCUCGUCAGAAAAGGUGGCUUCGGCUUCCGGCUGAGGAUGAGCCCGCGGCGGAUUAGCUUGUUGGUGGGGUAAUGGCCUACCAAGGCGACGAUCCGUAGCUGGUCUGAGAGGACGGUCAGCCACACUGGGACUGAAACACGGCCCAGACUCCUACGGGAGGCAGCAGUGGGGAAUCUUGCGCAAUGGGCGAAAGCCUGACGCAGCGACGCCGCGUGCGGGAAGAAGGCCUUCGGGUUGUAAACCGCUUUCAGGAGGGACGAACCACUCGGGUUAAUACCCCAGAGGGUGACGGUACCUCCAGAAGAAGCCCCGGCUAACUACGUGCCAGCAGCCGCGGUAAUACGUAGGGGGCAAGCGUUGUCCGGAUUUAUUGGCGUAAAGAGCGUGUAGGCGGCCAGGUAGGUCUGCUGUGA